CCUACGGGGUGCUGCAGUGGGGAAUAUUGGACAAUGGGCGAAAGCCUGAUCCAGCCAUGCCGCGUGUGUGAAGAAGGCCUUCGGGUUGUAAAGCACUUUCAGUGGGGAAGAAAGCCUUGGGGCUAAUACCCUCGAGGAAGGACAUCACCCACAGAAGAAGCACCGGCUAACUCCGUGCCAGCAGCCGCGGUAAUACGGAGGGUGCGAGCGUUAAUCGGAAUUACUGGGCGUAAAGCGCGCGUAGGCGGUCUGAUAAGCCGGUUGUGAAAGCCCCGGGCUCAACCUGGGAACGGCAUCCGGAACUGUCAGGCUAGAGUGCAGGAGAGGAAGGUAGAAUUCCCGGUGUAGCGGUGAAAUGCGUAGAGAUCGGGAGGAAUACCGGUGGCGAAGGCGGCCUUCUGGACUGACACUGACGCUGAGGUGCGAAAGCGUGGGUAGCAAACAGGAUUAGAUACCCGAGUAGUC
RNAcentral lists this ribosomal RNA (465 nucleotides) under Vreelandella stevensii. RNAcentral's name for it is "partial 16S ribosomal RNA". It matches the Rfam family "Bacterial small subunit ribosomal RNA", at positions 338 to 795 of the family's 1533-position model. The record is from RNAcentral. Lineage: Bacteria; Pseudomonadati; Pseudomonadota; Gammaproteobacteria; Oceanospirillales; Halomonadaceae.